CCUACGGGUGGCAGCAGUGAGGAAUAUUGGUCAAUGGCCGGAAGGCUGAACCAGCCAAGCCGCGUGAGGGACGAAGGCGCAGAGCGUCGCAGACCUCUUUUGCCAGGGGACAAAAUGCCGCACUAGACCCGUACUGAGGGUACCCGGAGAAAAAGCAUCGGCUAACUCCGUGCCAGCAGCCGCGGUAAUACGGAGGAUGCGAGCGUUAUCCGGAUUUAUUGGGUUUAAAGGGUGCGUGGGCGGUACUUUAAGCCGGCGGGGAAAGCGCGGGGCUCAACCCCGGAGAGCCGUUGGAACUGGGUGCCUUGAGUGCAGCGGAGGUAUGUGGAAUGCGCGGUGUAGCGGUGAAAUGCAUAGAUAUUGGGCAGAACCCCGGUGGCGAAGGCGGCGUGCUGUGCUGCCAAUGACGCUGAGGCACGAAAGCGUGGGGAUCGAACAGGAUUAGAUACCCCAGUAGUC
Molecule: ribosomal RNA, 459 nt
Filed under: uncultured bacterium
Lineage: Bacteria
Description: partial 16S ribosomal RNA
Rfam family: Bacterial small subunit ribosomal RNA
Source: RNAcentral